This 774-nucleotide ribosomal RNA is filed under the name uncultured Neocallimastigales. Its description in RNAcentral is "partial large subunit ribosomal RNA". It matches the Rfam family "Eukaryotic large subunit ribosomal RNA", at positions 24 to 616 of the family's 3401-position model. Lineage: Eukaryota; Fungi; Neocallimastigomycota; Neocallimastigomycetes; Neocallimastigales. The record is from RNAcentral.
UAUGUGAUCGUCUCUCGCAUAUCAAUAAGCGGAGGAAAAGAAACUAACAAGGAUUCCCCUAGUAACGGCGAGUGAAGCGGGAAGAGCUCAAAUUUGAAAUCUUAAAGGGUUUCCCUUUACGAAUUGUAGUUUAAAGAAGUGUUUUCUGUUGAGGUUUUGGUAAAAGUUCUUUGGAAUAGGACAUCAUAGAGGGUGAGAAUCCCGUAUUUGACCUUUACUUUCAACUUUGUGAUACACUUUCAAAGAGUCGGAUUGUUUGGGAAUGCAGUCCAAAAUGGGUGGUAAAUUUCAUCUAAAGCUAAAUAUUGGCGAGAGACCGAUAGCGAACAAGUACCGUGAGGGAAAGAUGAAAAGAACUUUGAAAAGAGAGUUAAACAGCACGUGAAAUUGUCAAAAGGGAAGCGUUUGACACCAGUGUUGUUUUUCUGAAAAUCAAUUAAAGAACUGUUUAUGCUAAGCUGUUUAGACUUUAUCAGCUAUCUGUUUAGUUUUGAGCUUUUCUUUAAUGCACUUUUCAGUUAACAAGUCAACAUCAAUUUCUUUUGCUGUAAAAAAGCUUGAGGAAGGUGGCUUGAGAUUCGUCUUAAGUGUUUAUAGCCUCUUGCCUAUGCAGUCGGAGAGAUUGAGGUCUGCAGCGUAGAUCCUUCGGGGCUAAAUGCAUUUGUGCUAAGUUAUAGCAUUUUAUAGACAACUUGUUGACUAUGAUUUGUCUUGUAGCUUACUCGCUUAUGUUAUUUUACCUACGCUUAGGAUGUUGAGCGCAUGUCUCUCUCU